Molecule: ribosomal RNA, 106 nt
Filed under: Staphylococcus aureus
Lineage: Bacteria; Bacillati; Bacillota; Bacilli; Caryophanales; Staphylococcaceae
Source: RNAcentral
UGGUGACUAUAGCAAGGAGGUCACACCUGUUCCCAUGCCGAACACAGAAGUUAAGCUCCUUAGCGUCGAUGGUAGUAUGGCUUGGCGAAGUGAAAACGUUUGAAUC